UGGGGAAUUUUUCGCAAUGGGCGCAAGCCUGACGAAGCAACGCCGCGUGGAGGAUGAAGGCCUUCGGGUUGUAAACUCCUGUCGACCGGGACGAAAGUAGUCCGACCUAAUACGUCGGGCUAUCGACUGUACCGGUGGAGGAAGCCACGGCUAACUCUGUGCCAGCAGCCGCGGUAAUACAGAGGUGGCAAGCGUUGUUCGGAAUUACUGGGCGUAAAGGGCGCGUAGGCGGUCUUGUAAGUCUUGUGUGAAAUCCCUCGGCUUAACUGAGGAACUGCACGGGAUACUGCAUGACUUGAGAUCGGGAGAGGGAAGCGGAAUUCCGGGUGUAGCGGUGAAAUGCGUAGAUAUCCGGAGGAACACCGGUGGCGAAGGCGGCUUCCUGGACCGACACUGACGCUGAGGCGCGAAAGCUAGGGGAGCAAACGGG
Molecule: ribosomal RNA, 430 nt
Filed under: uncultured bacterium
Lineage: Bacteria
Description: bacterial SSU rRNA
Rfam family: Bacterial small subunit ribosomal RNA
Source: RNAcentral